This is a non-coding RNA of Oryza brachyantha (malo sina), 93 nucleotides long. Lineage: Eukaryota; Viridiplantae; Streptophyta; Magnoliopsida; Poales; Poaceae. The record is from Rfam.
AAUGCAAUGAUGAUUCUUAGGAUAAUUGGCAGUGGCGACGUCAGUCGCCGUGAGCUUUCAUCCAAAAAACGACUUCUCUUUCCACUGAGCAUU